This 465-nucleotide ribosomal RNA is filed under the name Vreelandella stevensii. RNAcentral's name for it is "partial 16S ribosomal RNA". It matches the Rfam family "Bacterial small subunit ribosomal RNA", at positions 338 to 795 of the family's 1533-position model. The record is from RNAcentral. Lineage: Bacteria; Pseudomonadati; Pseudomonadota; Gammaproteobacteria; Oceanospirillales; Halomonadaceae.
CCUACGGGAGGCAGCAGUGGGGAAUAUUGGACAAUGGGCGAAAGCCUGAUCCAGCCAUGCCGCGUGUGUGAAGAAGGCCUUCGGGUUGUAAAGCACUUUCAGUGGGGAAGAAAGCCUUGGGGCUAAUACCCUCGAGGAAGGACAUCACCCACAGAAGAAGCACCGGCUAACUCCGUGCCAGCAGCCGCGGUAAUACGGAGGGUGCGAGCGUUAAUCGGAAUUACUGGGCGUAAAGCGCGCGUAGGCGGUCUGAUAAGCCGGUUGUGAAAGCCCCGGGCUCAACCUGGGAACGGCAUCCGGAACUGUCAGGCUAGAGUGCAGGAGAGGAAGGUAGAAUUCCCGGUGUAGCGGUGAAAUGCGUAGAGAUCGGGAGGAAUACCAGUGGCGAAGGCGGCCUUCUGAACUGACACUGACGCUGAGGUGCGAAAGCGUGGGUAGCAAACAGGAUUAGAUACCCUGGUAGUC